Molecule: ribosomal RNA, 2902 nt
Filed under: Klebsiella pneumoniae
Lineage: Bacteria; Pseudomonadati; Pseudomonadota; Gammaproteobacteria; Enterobacterales; Enterobacteriaceae
Description: bacterial LSU rRNA
Rfam family: Bacterial large subunit ribosomal RNA
Source: RNAcentral
UUAAGCGACUAAGCGUACACGGUGGAUGCCCUGGCAGUCAGAGGCGAUGAAGGACGUGCUAAUCUGCGAAAAGCGUCGGUAAGGUGAUAUGAACCGUUAUAACCGGCGAUGUCCGAAUGGGGAAACCCAGUGCAAUUCGUUGCACUAUCGUUAACUGAAUACAUAGGUUAACGAGGCGAACCGGGGGAACUGAAACAUCUAAGUACCCCGAGGAAAAGAAAUCAACCGAGAUUCCCCCAGUAGCGGCGAGCGAACGGGGAGCAGCCCAGAGUCUGAAUCAGCUUGUGUGUUAGUGGAACGGUCUGGAAAGUCCGACGGUACAGGGUGAUAGUCCCGUACACCAAAAUGCACAGGUUGUGAACUCGAAGAGUAGGGCGGGACACGUGGUAUCCUGUCUGAAUAUGGGGGGACCAUCCUCCAAGGCUAAAUACUCCUGACUGACCGAUAGUGAACCAGUACCGUGAGGGAAAGGCGAAAAGAACCCCGGCGAGGGGAGUGAAAAAGAACCUGAAACCGUGUACGUACAAGCAGUGGGAGCACCUUCGGGUGUGACUGCGUACCUUUUGUAUAAUGGGUCAGCGACUUAUAUUCUGUAGCAAGGUUAACCGUAUAGGGGAGCCGCAGGGAAACCGAGUCUUAACUGGGCGUUAAGUUGCAGGGUAUAGACCCGAAACCCGGUGAUCUAGCCAUGGGCAGGUUGAAGGUUGGGUAACACUAACUGGAGGACCGAACCGACUAAUGUUGAAAAAUUAGCGGAUGACUUGUGGCUGGGGGGUGAAAGGCCAAUCAAACCGGGAGAUAGCUGGUUCUCCCCGAAAGCUAUUUAGGUAGCGCCUCGUGAAUUCAUCUUCGGGGGUAGAGCACUGUUUCGGCUAGGGGGUCAUCCCGACUUACCAACCCGAUGCAAACUACGAAUACCGAAGAAUGUUAUCACGGGAGACACACGGCGGGUGCUAACGUCCGUCGUGAAGAGGGAAACAACCCAGACCGCCAGCUAAGGUCCCAAAGUCAUGGUUAAGUGGGAAACGAUGUGGGAAGGCACAGACAGCCAGGAUGUUGGCUUAGAAGCAGCCAUCAUUUAAAGAAAGCGUAAUAGCUCACUGGUCGAGUCGGCCUGCGCGGAAGAUGUAACGGGGCUAAACCAUGCACCGAAGCUGCGGCAGCGACACUAUGUGUUGUUGGGUAGGGGAGCGUUCUGUAAGCCUGCGAAGGUGACCUGUGAGGGUUGCUGGGAGGUAUCAGAAGUGCGAAUGCUGACAUAAGUAACGAUAAAGCGGGUGAAAAGCCCGCUCGCCGGAAGACCAAGGGUUCCUGUCCAACGUUAAUCGGGGCAGGGUGAGUCGACCCCUAAGGCGAGGCCGAAAGGCGUAGUCGAUGGGAAACAGGUUAAUAUUCCUGUACUUGGUGUUACUGCGAAGGGGGGACGGAGAAGGCUAUGUUAGCCGGGCGACGGUUGUCCCGGUUUAAGCAUGUAGGCUGGUUGUCCAGGCAAAUCCGGAUAAUCAAGGCUGAGGUGUGAUGACGAGGCACUACGGUGCUGAAGUAACAAAUGCCCUGCUUCCAGGAAAAGCCUCUAAGCAUCAGGUAACAUUAAAUCGUACCCCAAACCGACACAGGUGGUCAGGUAGAGAAUACCAAGGCGCUUGAGAGAACUCGGGUGAAGGAACUAGGCAAAAUGGUGCCGUAACUUCGGGAGAAGGCACGCUGGUGUGUAGGUGAAGUCCCUGCGGAUGGAGCUGAGACCAGUCGAAGAUACCAGCUGGCUGCAACUGUUUAUUAAAAACACAGCACUGUGCAAACACGAAAGUGGACGUAUACGGUGUGACGCCUGCCCGGUGCCGGAAGGUUAAUUGAUGGGGUUAUCCGUAAGGAGAAGCUCUUGAUCGAAGCCCCGGUAAACGGCGGCCGUAACUAUAACGGUCCUAAGGUAGCGAAAUUCCUUGUCGGGUAAGUUCCGACCUGCACGAAUGGCGUAAUGAUGGCCAGGCUGUCUCCACCCGAGACUCAGUGAAAUUGAACUCGCUGUGAAGAUGCAGUGUACCCGCGGCAAGACGGAAAGACCCCGUGAACCUUUACUAUAGCUUGACACUGAACAUUGAGCCUUGAUGUGUAGGAUAGGUGGGAGGCUUUGAAGCGUGGACGCCAGUCUGCGUGGAGCCAACCUUGAAAUACCACCCUUUAAUGUUUGAUGUUCUAACGUUGGCCCCUUACCGGGGUUGCGGACAGUGUCUGGUGGGUAGUUUGACUGGGGCGGUCUCCUCCCAAAGCGUAACGGAGGAGCACGAAGGUUAGCUAAUCCUGGUCGGACAUCAGGAGGUUAGUGCAAUGGCAUAAGCUAGCUUGACUGCGAGCGUGACGGCGCGAGCAGGUGCGAAAGCAGGUCAUAGUGAUCCGGUGGUUCUGAAUGGAAGGGCCAUCGCUCAACGGAUAAAAGGUACUCCGGGGAUAACAGGCUGAUACCGCCCAAGAGUUCAUAUCGACGGCGGUGUUUGGCACCUCGAUGUCGGCUCAUCACAUCCUGGGGCUGAAGUAGGUCCCAAGGGUAUGGCUGUUCGCCAUUUAAAGUGGUACGCGAGCUGGGUUUAGAACGUCGUGAGACAGUUCGGUCCCUAUCUGCCGUGGGCGCUGGAGAAUUGAGGGGGGCUGCUCCUAGUACGAGAGGACCGGAGUGGACGCAUCACUGGUGUUCGGGUUGUCAUGCCAAUGGCACUGCCCGGUAGCUAAAUGCGGAAGAGAUAAGUGCUGAAAGCAUCUAAGCACGAAACUUGCCCCGAGAUGAGUUCUCCCUGAGACUUUAAGUCUCCUGAAGGAACGUUAAAGACGAUGACGUUGAUAGGCCGGGUGUGUAAGCGCAGCGAUGCGUUGAGCUAACCGGUACUAAUGAACCGUGAGGCUUAACCUU